Molecule: ribosomal RNA, 501 nt
Filed under: Priestia megaterium
Lineage: Bacteria; Bacillati; Bacillota; Bacilli; Caryophanales; Bacillaceae
Description: bacterial SSU rRNA
Rfam family: Bacterial small subunit ribosomal RNA
Source: RNAcentral
CCUUACCAGGUCUUGACAUCCUCUGACAACUCUAGAGAUAGAGCGUUCCCCUUCGGGGGACAGAGUGACAGGUGGUGCAUGGUUGUCGUCAGCUCGUGUCGUGAGAUGUUGGGUUAAGUCCCGCAACGAGCGCAACCCUUGAUCUUAGUUGCCAGCAUUUAGUUGGGCACUCUAAGGUGACUGCCGGUGACAAACCGGAGGAAGGUGGGGAUGACGUCAAAUCAUCAUGCCCCUUAUGACCUGGGCUACACACGUGCUACAAUGGAUGGUACAAAGGGCUGCAAGACCGCGAGGUCAAGCCAAUCCCAUAAAACCAUUCUCAGUUCGGAUUGUAGGCUGCAACUCGCCUACAUGAAGCUGGAAUCGCUAGUAAUCGCGGAUCAGCAUGCCGCGGUGAAUACGUUCCCGGGCCUUGUACACACCGCCCGUCACACCACGAGAGUUUGUAACACCCGAAGUCGGUGGAGUAACCGUAAGGAGCUAGCCGCCUAAGGUGGGACA